RNAcentral lists this long non-coding RNA (1161 nucleotides) under Equus caballus (horse). RNAcentral's name for it is "lncRNA (ENSECAG00000051133.1)". Lineage: Eukaryota; Metazoa; Chordata; Mammalia; Perissodactyla; Equidae. The record is from RNAcentral.
GGCGGGCGGAGGGUCCCGGAUGUGCCGCCCUUCGCUCGCUCUUUUUUUUUAUUUUCCCAUUUUUUUCUCUCUUUUCUGAGGCGCUGGCGGUGUUCCUAGUUGCGUUGCCUGUUGGCUUAUCGUAUGCCUGGGCGCUGCAGGGCUCCGGGGCUCGCGCUGGACUGGAGGGUCCGAGCCGCCUUCGGCCGCCAGGUUGCCGCGCUCCGAGCCGCUCUCGCCUCCUGAUGCCGCGAGCCGAGGAGCGCGGGUGGCGGGGCGUGAGCCGCUGUCUCCGCCGCCAUCUUAGAGCCGGCGCGCCCGGGCCGCUGGGCGCUGGGCCCCGCGCCGGCAUUCCGCCGGCCCGGCGUGCGGAGGGCCUGGUCGGAGCUUGUCCAGCCUUCGCUCCUGAGCGGAGAGGCGCGGUCAGCGCUCCCUACCACAGGGCUGGGAGUGCGUGCUAAUAAGGAGCAGGAAGCCACCCUCGCCGGAGAAUGAGAACACGCAUGGCGGUCCCCUCUGCGAAUGGCAUUAGGGUCAGGGUAACUUACACCUGCCGGAGGUGGCACCCCGUUCGUUUCUAGUUCCCCGUUAUCCUCAGCCCUUAGCUUUCUUUUCAUAUUUUGAAGUAACUUUUUUCCAGAUCCCCAACAUUUUCAGAGGAGCUUCAGAAACAUAAAAGCCAGUAAGUUCAUCAGCUUCUAAGGAAUCAGCUACAGAGAUGGCAGAACUGAAUGAUGCAUAAAUAAGUGGAUCUAAAAUGGAGAUUUAUCUGAGCAGGCAUUCUCACUGCUGAGAGUAAACUAAGGAAGUAUCCAGUGAAGAUUAGCCCUGAGUUAACAUCUGCUGCCAAUCCUCCUCUUUUUGCUGAGGAAGACUGGCCCUGAGCUAACAUCCGUGCCCAUCUUCCUCUACUUUAUAUGUGAGACGCCUGCCACAGCAUGGCUUGCCAAGCGGUAACUUGUCCACACCUGGGAUCCAAACUGGCGAACUCUGGGCUGCUGAAGUGGAACAUGCAAACUUUAACUGCUGCACCACCAGGCUGCCCUUAUAAAUUUUGAAAUUUGGUGGGUUGUUGGAUAAUGAUGAAUUUAUGAACAGAAGAAGGAACGGUAGGUCUCCGCACUCUCAAGCCUAGCUUUCAGCUAAUCCACAGUCAAUGUCUCUGGGUGUCCUGAGCUUAAG